ACGGGUGAGUAACGCGUGGGAAUCUACCGAGCCCUGCGGGAUAGCUCCGGGAAACUGGAAUUAAUACCGCAUGCGCCCUACGGGGGAAAGAUUUAUCGGGGUUUGAUGAGCCCGCGUUGGAUUAGCUAGUUGGUGGGGUAAAGGCCUACCAAGGCGACGAUCCAUAGCUGGUCUGAGAGGAUGAUCAGCCACAUUGGGACUGAGACACGGCCCAAACUCCUACGGGAGGCAGCAGUGGGGAAUAUUGGACAAUGGGCGCAAGCCUGAUCCAGCCAUGCCGCGUGAGUGAUGAAGGCCUUAGGGUUGUAAAGCUCUUUCACCGGAGAAGAUAAUGACGGUAUCCGGAGAAGAAGCCCCGGCUAACUUCGUGCCAGCAGCCGCGGUAAUACGAAGGGGGCUAGCGUUGUUCGGAAUUACUGGGCGUAAAGCGCACGUAGGCGGACAUUUAAGUCAGGGGUGAAAUCCCGGGGCUCAACCUCGGAACUGCCUUUGAUACUGGGUGUCUUGAGUGUGGAAGAGGUAAGUGGAAUUCCGAGUGUAGAGGUGAAAUUCGUAGA
This 557-nucleotide ribosomal RNA is filed under the name uncultured bacterium. Its description in RNAcentral is "bacterial SSU rRNA". It matches the Rfam family "Bacterial small subunit ribosomal RNA", at positions 102 to 694 of the family's 1533-position model. The record is from RNAcentral.